AAUAUUGGACAAUGGGGGCAACCCUGAUCCAGCCAUGCCGCGUGUGUGAAGAAGGNCUNNGGAUUNUNAAGCACUUUAAGUUGNNNNNAAGGGCUUUAGGUUAAUACCCUGAAGUUUUGACGUUACCAACAGAAUAAGCACCGGCUAACUCUGUGCCAGCAGCCGCGGUAAUACAGAGGGUGCAAGCGUUAAUCGGAAUUACUGGGCGUAAAGACGCCGUAGUUGGUUGGUUGAUGAGUUAGAAGUGACCCCCGCGGCCACCACGUAAGAGCUUUCAUAAAAGGUGACAAAGAAGAGGACGGCGGGGGGUGGUGUUAUUUCCUUUGCAGCGGUAAGACUCGUAGAUGUAAGAAGGACCAGUAGUGGCGACGACUACCUGGACUGAUACUGACACUGAGGUGCGAAAGCGUGGGGAGCAAAC
RNAcentral lists this ribosomal RNA (421 nucleotides) under uncultured bacterium. Its description in RNAcentral is "partial 16S ribosomal RNA". It matches the Rfam family "Bacterial small subunit ribosomal RNA", at positions 360 to 773 of the family's 1533-position model. The record is from RNAcentral.